GUAAAACUUAAAUUGUCAAACGACAAACAACGUGUACUCGUAAUUUGUGAACAGUUUUUUUUAUGUAUUAAGAAGAAACUAAUAUUGUGUUUUAAAAUGUCUAAUUGUGCAGGACAUUUUUUAAGAAGAUUACUGGAAUGAUAAUGAUGUUUUGAAACCUUAAUGUACAAUUUGUCACUGAUUACAAUAGUCGGUAUUGGUUUAUCAAGCUACAUAUCAAUAUGUCAUUUAUGAUUAUUCAGUUACUAGUUAGAUGAAGAAAAUAUUGCUUUCUACUUGGAAUCUUAGAAGAAUAAAAUAUUAGCAUUUAACACAACCAUACUCAACCAGCGGCCCCCGGGCUGCAUACAGCCCGCCGAUUAUUUUUAUGUGGCCCAAAAAGAACUCAUAUUAUAAAUAUUUAAAGGCUAUAAAAAAAAAUAUAUAUUAAUAUAAAAAAUAACAAAACAAUUAUAUUUUGAAGAUGUUUAACG
Adelges cooleyi (spruce gall adelgid) is the source of this 473-nucleotide long non-coding RNA. RefSeq lists it as uncharacterized. The transcript is spliced from 3 exons. NCBI's taxonomy places the organism in Eukaryota, Metazoa, Arthropoda, Insecta, Hemiptera, Adelgidae. The record is from RefSeq and is a predicted model, not a curated record.